Molecule: long non-coding RNA, 359 nt
Filed under: Brassica napus (rape)
Lineage: Eukaryota; Viridiplantae; Streptophyta; Magnoliopsida; Brassicales; Brassicaceae
Description: long non-coding RNA (BNAP_LNC025270)
Source: RNAcentral
CAUAAACCAUGCCUCUCCGUUCGUGUCUCAAUGUUCUCAGAAUCGUAAAGACAGAUAAAUUUUACGAAAAUCACGAACGAACCAACAGAUUGAACGUCUAAUUAGAACUACAUACGAGACGACAACUCGUAUUUACUUCAACCCUACUCAGGAAAAACUCGAAACGAAACAUUUAUCAUAUAAAUAAACCGCAUAAAGCGGCAAGGGAUUCAAAGCCACCAACGGCCAGUCCCCGAAAUACAAAUACGGUCAUCUUGACCUAAAACGAAAUCCAAAUUCAAAGGGCCAUAUUCGGCCGAAAACAAGGAUAACUAAUCCAUCCCUCAUAAUCCAAAGUCGAAGUCCCCGGACAACGAAGC